Molecule: ribosomal RNA, 501 nt
Filed under: uncultured Eubacteriales bacterium
Lineage: Bacteria; Bacillati; Bacillota; Clostridia; Eubacteriales
Description: uncultured Clostridiales bacterium partial 16S ribosomal RNA
Source: RNAcentral
CACGUAUUUAGCCGGGGCUUCUUAGUCAGGUACCGUCAUUUUCUUCCCUGCUGAUAGGGCUUUACGCGCCGAGGCGCUCCAUCGCCCACGCGGCGUCGCUGCAUCAGGGUUCCCCCCAUUGUGCAAUAUCCCCCACUGCUGCCUCCCGUAGGAGUUUGGGCCGUGUCUCAGUCCCAAUGUGGCCGCCCACCCUCUCAGGCCGGCUACUGAUCGUCGCCUUGGUGGGCCGUUGCCCCGCCAACAAGCUAAUCAGACGCGGGCCCAUCCCGCACCGCCAAGGCUUUCCGCACCGCCCCAUGCGGGGCUGUGCGCCCAUGCGGUAUUAGCAGCCGUUUCCGGCUGUUGUCCCCCAGUGCGGGGCAGGUUGCCCACGCGUUACUCACCCGUCCGCCACUGGGCGGCGCCGGCUUCAGCCCCGGAGGGCCCCCGCCGGCGCGCCCCGUUCGACUUGCAUGUGUUAGGCACGCCGCCAGCGUUCAUCCUGAGCCAGGAUCAAACUCU